GCUGUUCGACGUAAUGCUCCCGCCGAGAGGCUCACAUCUCUUUGUGUCUUAUGCCAAGCGUUAUCGUCUCCCACCGGAGGCAUAUUUUGAUGAUUUGCAUCAACGAGGCAAGUAUCGCUUGUUGUGCAUUAACUGUAGAUGUCCACGAGUCCGUGGCGUUGCCUGUUCUGACGGUCCUGUCAGCCCUACUCAGCAAUUUAAGUAGGUAAGUUAGAAUUUGGAAAGAGGUACAAGGAAGUAUAUACGGCAAUGCAAUCCAAUGCAACACGUAGGGCACUAGCAAUCUUUUUGACAAUAUUGUUCUAGCGACUGAAGGAGAGUAAUUCACGAGAUGGGAAUGUGUUGCUUCGAUCUUUUGUGUGUUUCUGUGCUGUGCUGAAUUGAUAGUUGUGUCUUGCAGUUCUGUUCCGUAAUUAUGCUUCCAACCAUGUUUUGUACCUUCUGUAUGUAUUUCCUCCACAGUGACAUGCCUAAAACAGCAAGCUGGUCUCCCAUUUCCUGUGAGGUUCCCUUAGUAACAAAUUUGUUUACUACCUACAGUUUGUUAAUCAGGAAAAGGAAAAAAUGUGAGAUGUGUAUGCGUACUGUGGCUGGUUUAGUUGGUACAUUGGUGUCUGUCAAUUGCUUGAUAGGUGUUCCCAUGUUUUAGGGACCCACGGGGUUUAUAUAGAGAAUUUUAUUUUGCUUUCCAAAGUGUUCUCGUGCUUCUGGUCUUAACCUUUUGUACCUGUGUCAUUUUCAGAGACUGCUUAGUACUGUUUUUUUAUGUGCAACUGCAUAGUACUCCCUCUGUUUCUUUUUAGUCUGCAUAUAAAUUUGGUCAAAGUCAAACUUUGUCAACUUUGACUAAGUUUAUAGGAAAAAAUAUCAAGAUAAACAACAUGAAAUCAAUAUUAUUAGAUGCAUCAUGAAAUUAAUUUUCAUACCAUAUAGCUUUAGUAUUGUAGAUGUUGAUAUUUUUUCAUAGAAAGUUAGUCAAACUUUAUAAAGUUUGACUUUGACCAAAUUUUAUAUGCAGACUAAAAAGAAACGGAUGGAGUACUGUUGAGGAACCAGAAAGCUUCAUUGGUUGAAUCAAUUCAUAAUAUGGCACCUUUAUCUUCUGCUAAAUGCCGUGAUGCUAGAAGAUUUAUUGUUGGCGACCUCUGUAUGUUGCUCUACAUGUUUGUAUGAAUGGGUUUGUACAUCUGUUCAUGUUACAAGCCUACACCGCUACAAGGCAGCAUUAUAAGAAGUAAACAACAGACGACAUGAGAUAUGAGAGUUUCUUAAAUUAUUACCUUAUUUUUGUCAUGGCAUUGCUAUGUGCGGAGAGGUCUUCUUGCCGUCUUGGUUGGGAAAAGCUGGCAUCGGGUUAGAUAUUCCUCUCUGUCUGGUAACAUAUACUCUCACAUGCAAC
RNAcentral lists this long non-coding RNA (1399 nucleotides) under Triticum aestivum (bread wheat). RNAcentral describes it as "long non-coding RNA (TAES_LNC001765)". Lineage: Eukaryota; Viridiplantae; Streptophyta; Magnoliopsida; Poales; Poaceae. The record is from RNAcentral.